UACGUAUCGGAUACUGGGCGUAAGCGCACGCAGGCGGUCUGUCAAGUCGGAUGUGAAAUCCCCGGGCUCAACCUGGGAACUGCAUUCGAAACUGGCAGGCUAGAGUCUUGUAGAGGGGGGUAGAAUUCCAGGUGUAGCGGUGAAAUGCGUAGAGAUCUGGAGGAAUACCGGUGGCGAAGGCGGCCCCCUGGACAAAGACUGACGCUCAGGUGCGAAAGCGUGGGGAGCAAACAGGAUUAGAUACCCGGUAGUC
RNAcentral lists this ribosomal RNA (253 nucleotides) under bacterium. Its description in RNAcentral is "partial 16S ribosomal RNA". It matches the Rfam family "Bacterial small subunit ribosomal RNA", at positions 552 to 795 of the family's 1533-position model. The record is from RNAcentral.